AAAGAGACAGGGUCUCACUCUGUUUCCCAGUCUGGAGUGCGGUGCUGUCAUUAUAGCUCACUGUAACCUUGAACUUCCAGGCUCAAUCGCUCCUCCCACCUCAGACUCCCAAGUAGCUGGGACUACAGGUGUGUGCCACCAUCCCCAGGUAAAUUAAUCACUAAUGUUUAUUACAAGCCUGGUUUGUGCCAGGUGAUUAACAUGCUUCUAAUACGGUUGCUAGUCCUUACCAUGGCUGUGCAUGGCAAAUACUGUUAUUCCCAUUUUACAGGAAGUGAAACAGAGAGGUUCAGUGUCUUGUCUGUGCUCACACCACCAGUCACAGAGGAGUUGGGCUUAGCUCUGGCAGUCUCUCAAGGGCGCCCUGUCUACUCCCCACUCUGUUUGCACAGCUAUUGGCUUUGCUCCAUCACCAGGGACAGAAGACCUGGAGCUAAGGUCAAAUUGCAUUCAACAUGAGCCUACUACCUUCACCUAAAUUUAGAACAAGACAGCUCCAACCAGCUCUGCCCCAGCAGAACAGAGGCAUGUGGAUUGAUAAUGGGCAAGAGAAAACCCAGCAGGUGCCACAGAACCACCCCGCCAUGGGAGCCAGGAGGGGGUGCCAUCCCUGUGCGGAGCAGAAGGCAUCCUGGGAAUAUCGCUUUGGGGUCUGAGAUGCUCAGCUCACUGCCAUGUCACCAGACUUCCAUCAGAGGGUCACCAAGUUCCUAGCCAUACGAAUAAAAUCUGCACGUCUAAGGUUGAAAACAACUUUGUCAUGGGGUUGU
This 770-nucleotide long non-coding RNA is filed under the name Homo sapiens (human). RNAcentral describes it as "non-protein coding lnc-SVIL-5:1". Lineage: Eukaryota; Metazoa; Chordata; Mammalia; Primates; Hominidae. The record is from RNAcentral.